UACGGGGGGGCAAGCGUUGUUCGGAAUUACUGGGCGUAAAGGGCUCGUAGGCGGCCAACUAAGUCAGACGUGAAAUCCCUCGGCUUAACCGGGGAACUGCGUCUGAUACUGGAUGGCUUGAGUUUGGGAGAGGGACGCGGAAUUCCAGGUGUAGCGGUGAAAUGCGUAGAUAUCUGGAGGAACACCGGUGGCGAAGGCGGCGUCCUGGACCAACACUGACACUGAUGAGCGAAAGCCAGGGGAGCAAACGGG
RNAcentral lists this ribosomal RNA (252 nucleotides) under uncultured bacterium. RNAcentral describes it as "partial 16S ribosomal RNA". It matches the Rfam family "Bacterial small subunit ribosomal RNA", at positions 524 to 776 of the family's 1533-position model. The record is from RNAcentral.